UUUUUUGCUUGGUUUAUAUCCCAAAUUGUUGGGAUCAGUGAAAAAGUAUGAACAUUUUGUUCUUAUUUUUUUGUGCGUCUGAUCCUCUUUGACUGAAUAAUUCAGUAUUUCAAUUCAAAGAUCUGUUAUUGAGGUUUGAAUGUGGUGAAUACUGUAUUUGUGUUCUUGACUGUUCUUACGCUCCCGAAGGUGACAGGCAAAAGAUUGGAGCCAUAUUAAUAUUGUGACAGUGAAAUGGUUUGAUGAAUCUAUUGCUCAAAGAGCAUGUCUGAAUGAGGAGUCCUACCCUGUUCAGAGUGGAUCUUUAUCUUCAAAUGUUCCAUUAUUUGUUAAAGAGGCAGAUGCUGAAGCACCUCCAUUCAUUACAGACCAGCAAUGAAUUGUGACCAAUGAUUCUGAGUCUGAUGACAAUGACCGGUAUUUAGCAGAUUGCAGAAUAUCACUUGUUGGUUUUGAAGCUUCUUAAAUGGAGAAGCUAAGUAAAGGUGGAGGUUCCCAAUGCUUGUAUUUAAAUGAUAAGUUGACGCACAUAGUAGUCGGGAAUCCAACAGAAAUGUAAG
Long non-coding RNA from Medicago truncatula (barrel medic), 560 nucleotides. RefSeq lists it as uncharacterized. NCBI's taxonomy places the organism in Eukaryota, Viridiplantae, Streptophyta, Magnoliopsida, Fabales, Fabaceae. The transcript has 2 exons. The record is from RefSeq and is a predicted model, not a curated record.